Molecule: non-coding RNA, 28 nt
Filed under: Mus musculus (house mouse)
Lineage: Eukaryota; Metazoa; Chordata; Mammalia; Rodentia; Muridae
Source: RNAcentral
UAAUUCUCUUUUCUGGUGUGACUACUUU